Small nuclear RNA from Oncorhynchus tshawytscha (Chinook salmon), 128 nucleotides. Its record names the gene U1. It matches the Rfam family "U1 spliceosomal RNA". From Rfam's summary of the family: U1 is a small nuclear RNA (snRNA) component of the spliceosome (involved in pre-mRNA splicing). Its 5' end forms complementary base pairs with the 5' splice junction, thus defining the 5' donor site of an intron. There are significant differences in sequence and secondary structure between metazoan and yeast U1 snRNAs, the latter being much longer (568 nucleotides as compared to 164 nucleotides in human). The record is from Ensembl. Lineage: Eukaryota; Metazoa; Chordata; Actinopteri; Salmoniformes; Salmonidae.
AUACUUACCUGGCAAGGGAGAAACUGUGAUCAAGAAGGCAGUUCACCCAGGGUGAGGCUCAGCCAUUGCACUCCGGCUGUGCUGACCCCUGCGAAUUUCCCAAAUGUGGAAAUCUCUUUUAGCUCGGC